UCACACAUGAGUAUAUCUGAAAUUCAGUGUGUUUGUGUGCAUAUGUGUGAGUGUGUGUGCCUUGCUUGUGUGUUUUAAUGCUGGUCCCUCCCUUUCCAGGAGAAGGGACCUCUGUGACCGUCAGGAGGAUAGAAGAAGAUGAGAGGAGAGGAGGACAGCGGACUGAGAUAUGGAGGAGAGGAGACUCUGGACUCCUAUGUCCCUCCUAAUAACUUGAUUACACGGAUCUCUGUUCUGGAGAAUGCUGAUAUUGGCAGCCUAAAGCAGCAAUAUCAUAGGAUUGGCUUCUUUCCUGAGCUGGACAGCACAACACUCUCCUCACAUGCUGUCUUUCCCCCCCAGCCAAUCGGAAGCCCUUUCUCCCAUGAAGUGAACUAUGAUCUUUGACCAAACUGUAGCAGUGGGUCGUUACCACGACAACUUCCUGCCACAGGUCAGUGGGCGGAGACACCUUAUCUAUCAUGUGGCCUGGGAGGACCAAUCAAACUGCAUGGUCAGGAUGAGGAUUCUAAUGGGUUCUAAGGAUUAAAUCAUUUUUGGGGUGAUUUUGAGGAGGAAUGGUGUCCUAUGUGGUUAUACCCUUCGUUUGGAGAACUGCCACGUGACUCAAGAGUACUCACUGUGUAGAACAGAUGGAUUUGCAAAAUGUUUUCAAACAGAUGACUUGUUCCAUUGGCAUGAACAGACUAUGUAUUGUGGAUCCAGCGAAACUGCGAGACAACUGAUCUCCAUAGCUUCAUAGCUUCCUUUUCAAUGCUUAAAGAUAAAAAUAUAAUUUUUAUUUUGUAAGCUGCGACUUCUGAGUUGACGCUUCUGAGCAUUUUAUGGAUAACGAAAACAGCUUUGAGGCAUCAGUCAAAAUAAUUCCUGUUUGCCAAACUUCUAUUUUGUAAAUAAGAUUUCCUCAAGACCCCUUACACCGGAAUCUCUGUGCCAAAAGAAAGGUCUGUCGUCUGCCUCUCUGAUACAACCUACCUGUGGCUCUCUCAACUUUAAAGCAAUGCCACACCAGCACCUCUGUCUGUAUUGUCUGGAUAUUUGCUUUGCUUCUUGACAUUUUCUUUUUUUACUUUCUGUUUCUGUGUUGGGUUUGGUCAGUCAGUCUGUGACAUAUGAACUGUGAAUCUGUGUUACAUAGCCGUUGAAUCAAAGCAACGAUGGGGAUACCUGCUACCUACGUAUGACGUAACUCACUCUUUUGAAAAUAAAAUGACCAUCCUCACACACAAAAUAAAAGAUCCACAGGCCAAUAAAGUCCCUGUCACUUUUACCUGGGGGGGGUGUAACCUUGCUUUUAACUGUUUUAGAUUACUGAACAGGUGUACUACCCAUCCUUCAAUGUUUGCUUUCAAUCUCUUUGUUAACCUACUCAACUGCUACCAGACCUGGGUUCAAAUACUAUUUAAACCUUCCAAAUACUUUUGAGCAUUUGCUUAAGCCUGCCUCGAGUGCCAUGUUGGCGGGGUUUGCACUUUAGGGACUUUUCUAUUGAUUCCAUGGCAACGGGCAAGCUCAAUCACACACCGCUAAAGUAUUUGAAAUGAUUUGAAAUAGUAUUUGAACCCAGGUCUGCUACACAUGGGUGGUUUCUAGGAAUCAAACCAAUAAGCUAGUUGUGACGGCCCAACCAGCAGUAGACUCCAGAGUGCAUUACUAUGCCUUAUUAUUAUCGGUUGUGUUGCGUUGUCCCGUCACUGUUAUAUCGUCAUGUCAUUGUAUUACAGUAACACGGUUGAUUCAUGCAACUAAAGGUUUGGGGCAUCUGGUAGGUCUGUCUGCUCCACGGAGUUACACAUGGCAAAACGUGGUGACUUUAGAAGAUUAUGAAAGAAUAGAGAUAUUAUUGCUUUUUACUUCUAGACUAUGAUGAUAAUAACUGUAACCCUGCUCGUAUAAGAAAAUGCUCAAUUAAAUGGUCCAACGAUAUUUUGUAAAUUUGAUUUAGGAAUUCCAACAGUCCUGAAAAGAGAAAAGGACUUUUGUACGCAUAUUUCUUCCCAUUCACUGUGCUACUAACCCCGCUGUUCAGUUACAAAUAAAAUAUCAUGUGAUUCCCACUUUGCUCCUGAAUAUUUGAUUAUGCUGCCAGUCAAACAUUUUUUAGCACUCUAAACUGAAUAUCACUCAAGCCUUGCUUAUUUACACCUUGCACUAACAUGUACGUUUUGUGAUCUGAUCCAUAUGUAUGCAGAUUAUUUGACAGAUAUUCAUUCAAAUAUACAGUAUGAAUGUAUUUAUUUAUUUUAAGACAGUUACUGAUGUCAUAAGUCAAAGACCUAUCUGUCAAUGAUUUUAGAGGACGGUAUAAUGAUGAUUUAAAUGGUUUACCGUCCAGAUCUGUUUACACUUGAUUGAUAUCCAGACACAAUGCGUGUCUAGCCCCAUUUAUUCCUGGUUAUAACAUGCGCCCUUGUCCUGCACUUGUACACAUUCUGACUGUGCCCACAUUUUUAGACUGGAGUAGAUGAUUAAAAGACACAUUGUGAUCAGAUCUUCCUGACCACCCUUGGAGGUAGUCAGGGACCUAUUGUUUCUGGAUAUCAAAUCAAGUGUAAACAGACCUGGAAGUUCAAACCAUUCUGCUUCACAGGUUGGCAUUUAUUGGGAGGUCUCAUGUACUGGAGGCAGCUCUUCAGAGCGGUCACUAGCUGGCACAGCCACAAAGUCAAAAAAUCUGAUUUUAAACCUUAACCCUAACCUUAACAACACUGCUAACUCUAAUGCCUAACCCUAACCUUGAAUGUAGACCAAAAAGC
Long non-coding RNA from Oncorhynchus tshawytscha (Chinook salmon), 2756 nucleotides. The record is from Ensembl. Lineage: Eukaryota; Metazoa; Chordata; Actinopteri; Salmoniformes; Salmonidae.